This 91-nucleotide transfer RNA is filed under the name Kitasatospora griseola. Its description in RNAcentral is "tRNA-Gln". Lineage: Bacteria; Bacillati; Actinomycetota; Actinomycetes; Kitasatosporales; Streptomycetaceae. The record is from RNAcentral.
GGCGGUCGUGGUGAAGGCCGCCCGGUUGCUGGAGCCGGCGGUGUCGUACUCCAUGGCGCCCAGCGACAGUUCGGUGCCGGCCGCCGACACC